Transfer RNA from Gaeumannomyces graminis, 108 nucleotides. It matches the Rfam family "tRNA". Rfam says of the family: Transfer RNA (tRNA) molecules are approximately 80 nucleotides in length. The record is from Rfam. Lineage: Eukaryota; Fungi; Ascomycota; Sordariomycetes; Magnaporthales; Magnaporthaceae.
GGGCGAAUGGUUUAGUGGUAUAACGCUUCCUUAGCAUCGCCAUGACACGAGCACAUCGUGAAGUGGGCUUCCUGGAAGAGGUCCGGGGUUCGAUUCCCCGUUUGUCCA